UACGUAGGGGGCGAGCGUUGUCCGGAAUCAUUGGGCGUAAAGAGCUCGUAGGCGGUUCAGCAAGUCGGCUGUGAAAUUCCGAGGCUCAACCUCGGAACUGCAGUCGAUACUGCUGUGACUCGAGUCCGGUAGAGGAGAAUGGAAUUCCCGGUGUAGCGGUGAAAUGCGUAGAUAUCUGGAGGAACACCGGUGGCGAAGGCGGCAUCCUGGACCGGCAUUGACGCUGAGGCGCGAAAGCCAGGGGAGCAAACGGG
Molecule: ribosomal RNA, 254 nt
Filed under: uncultured bacterium
Lineage: Bacteria
Description: partial 16S ribosomal RNA
Rfam family: Bacterial small subunit ribosomal RNA
Source: RNAcentral